RNAcentral lists this ribosomal RNA (256 nucleotides) under uncultured bacterium. RNAcentral describes it as "partial 16S ribosomal RNA". It matches the Rfam family "Bacterial small subunit ribosomal RNA", at positions 524 to 776 of the family's 1533-position model. The record is from RNAcentral.
UACGUAGGGUGCAAGCGUUGUCCGGAAUUAUUGGGCGUAAAGAGCUCGUAGGCGGUCUGUCGCGUCGGCUGUGAAAACCCGCGGCUCAACCUCGGGCCUGCAGUCGAUACGGGCAGACUAGAGUGCGGUAGGGGAGACUGGAAUUCCUGGUGUAGCGGUGGAAUGCGUAGAGAGUCCGGGAAGAACACCGGUGGCGAAGGCGGUCUGCUGGGCAGUAGCUGACACUGAGGCGCGACAGCGUGGGGGAGCAAACAGG